GCAUGGGGUGGGUAAUAGGGCAUGUGAUUUGAAUGAGUAUUCCCAGCCAUUUAAUAUAUUCACAAGUCAAACUAUAAAGUAUUUCUUUAAAAAAAUUAUAGUAUUUCACUGAAGUUUGAAUGUACUUUCUCUUGCCAAAAUAAUCAGAGUCUUUCAUUUUUCUAAUGAUAAAAAUGUGCUACAUGUGUAGGAAAAUUUCCCAAAUGAAAAAUAACAUUUUCUAUGGCAGCACAUACAGUGCUUGAAUUUUUCACCUUAGAUUUUAUUCUAGCCAGACCUAAACUCUGUCUUACUUGCAUAAUGAUAAUUCAUGUCGUCAAACCAAACGCACUGUUUGCUGCUCGUUUGUCCAGGAGCCAUCUUUUCCUAAAGUGAGCAAUAUUACGUGCAUUUUGUCUGGCUGGCCGAGGGCUCCUCCCUACAGCUUCUGCAGCCAUGGAAGAGUCUGGAAGGACAGUGUUCGCUUGUACAAGAAGAGGGAAGGAUAGGAUGAGAAAAGCAAAAUCUUGGAGAGUCUGUGGUCGGAAGAAGAAAGCUGAAGCUGGUUAGGAGGAAGGAGUGUGUGAGUGAAUUAGGAGCUGAAGCAGUAAAGUAGCUUUCCCUGUGACCCUGAUGUGUCGGGCAUUUCUGUCUUAGACUAAAAGCAUAAUAAAAAAGGCACUUUGUUUAGGUUAACAGAGCAUUAUAUAACUGGAAAGUUUUACAGUUUUAUAUAUAUAGUGAAUAGUUUGUAGAGGAUAAAAAGACUUCCCUUUGGUUUAUUAUUUGGGUAAAAUAAAAACCCACGAAUCAUUUAAGGAUGCAUUUCUUUUUCUUUUUUCUGCCUUUUUUUUUUUAAGACAAAAGCUUGAAGGCAUAAAAUGGAGUUAUUUUCAUCGGGAUAUCACCCUCGAUGCUGCUGCUUUACUACAUGUUCAUAGUCAAAAUUAUUUCAUGUUUCCCUUGAAUAACUACGAUCAGUUUGAAAACAGCUUUGUUAAUUAGUAAGAGAUGACGCAAUAUAUCACUGCAUCUUUAGGGCUCUGGCGCCAGCUAGUGGUAGGAGAGGGGAGCCGCCCUGUCGCUCUCAAAUCUGGGAAGGCGUCGGUCUUCUCGCGUCCCCUUAUCCCUCAUCCUCCUCAUUUUUUUUUUCCAUCAGCAUAAUGGGGGAAUCAUUGCAGUGUGGCCAGAGAGGAGCAGACGAGAUUAUAGAUGAAAGUAGAGAAAAACGGUGGGCAGGGGCAGGGAGAGGAAAGGCCAGACAAAUGCAAUCAUUUCUCCAAAGGAUUUGAGAAGAGAUCAUUUAUUUGAAAUAUUCCUGCCAUGUUGAUGGAGCAGCUCAAUCUUUUGCCAGUGAAUCUUUAGCGUUUUGUUUUUCAUUUGUAGAUAUGGUUGAACAUAUACUUAGGACACGUAAUAACUAUGGAACUUCAUCACAAACACAGCACUGAGGACAUGUUAAGGAGACAUGCAUACAAGGAGAAUGCCAGGUGAACGUGAAGACCAUCAUUUGCAAGCCAAGAGAGGCCUGGAGCAGAUCCUUCAGAGCCCUCAGAAGGGACCAACCCUGCUGGCACCUUGAUUUUGGACUUCCAGCCUCCAGAACUAAGAACUUGAUGUAUACCUCCUGACCUGUUCAUCUUGUAGCUGCCUCUUGACAGGACUGCAACCUGGAACAAGGAGAGACAAAGGGAAGGAGGAGUCUGGAGCCAUAUUGAAGAUGAAAUUGAGAUAUGGACUAGGUGGUGGAUCGUUUUUAUAAGAGGACAUAAAAGAGGAUGCUAAAGCUAAUUGCCACAAUCAGAACUCAAAGACCUAGCAAAUGCAAGGUGGUAUUUAUUCUAAACUCAGCAAAGUAGUAGAAAAAUAGUUUUGAGAACAGUUUUAAGGAGACUAGGGUAACAGUGAGAAAAUAGUUCAUGGCUAGUCUGGACUUAGGACUUUAGGGUCGGCCUGGUGAAUUGAAGGGAAGCAGCUGAUACACUCUGGUUGCCUUGUACCCUGGCUUUUGGUGCUUUCCCAUGUGCUGUAGUCAUCAGUAAUCUGGAGGAAAUGCUAUAGAGGCAAAGACACCAUUAGAUGGGUGCUCAACUAGCAAACAGGAUGUGACCACAGAGUAGUUACCCCAAGACCAGGUCAGCAUGACCCAAAAGGCAGAAGAGGACAAGGUUUAUGAGUGUUGGGCUGAGCUCACGCCUGCUUGAACAUCUCAAGAACAAUGUUAAUGAUGGAAGAGAGAGAUAGGAGAGGAAACUCAUUAAACUUGCCAAAUAUGAGAUGUAGCUGGGUUGGCUCUAUGUAAGCAUGGCAGAAAAGCAUUUAGAAGUCAUAAUACAUUUAAAAUAAGAGCUACCAGCAUAGCAGUGACAUGAAGAAGGCAUGUGUUUUGUUAAAAAGUUUUAAAUACUCCUAUAAAAGAUAGUAAGGUACAAGUUGUUUGCUUGAUCAGCAAUGCUAAUUGCCUUUGAAGUGCAUGCCUGGGGAUUCCAUGGAGAGAGGACCCUGUUUCUCCACCCCAACCCAAAUUCACUGAGUUUAUGUCAGAAUGUUCAGAAGCCCCUUUACAAAUUCCUCUGAUUGCCUUGUUAGACACUGGCCACCUCCCUGAACCUGGGCCAAGAUGAGGGUCUACACCUUGGCUUAGUUCUACUAUGAAAGACUUUCCUGCAGUAAAAGUUACCUGUCUGAAACAUUCAGAAGAGUGAAAAUGCCACAUCUCCAAUUUCCAGCAAUAUAUUUGUCUGCCAUGAUUUGGCCUGGAAGCUUAAGCAGGAAGACCACUUGGAGCCAGACUUCAGAGUGAUCUGUCUCUAAGGAAUAACUUUCAUAUUGCAGCGUUCGGUUUUGCAAUUCUUCCUAAGCUACUCUAAAUUCGCAGCAUAAAUCUGCAGAAAGACUUCACCCUCCACAUCAAACCCUUAUAAGGAUCCAUUUCUGCUCUCAUUUUAGAAUAUCUUUUCUAAUAGCUAAAGGCAGACAGAGGCAAACCAAGAAAUCCAGACUUUGCAUCAACGGGUUAAAUCAUAUGUCAAAGGUGCAACCAUAACGUAUUACAAGCUUCUCAUCACAUAAUACAUCACUCAAGAAAAAAUAUUUGGGCAGCUUUUCUAAUUCAUCUUCCUGGUGUUAAAGGAGCACAUCUCCAGUGUUCGUGUCUUCUGUUUCAAUUAAAGCAAUCAUGCCUACUCUUUUAGGAAACUACUAAGGUUUAUUACCUCUUUGUUUCACUGCUAAUAUUCAGCUUCUCCUUGUGGUCUCCCCUUCCAAAUACAUAUUUUUUUCUUUCUAUCCGGUUUUGCUUCUCACCACAAUAUACACUUGUGGCUAUUGUUUGAUAAAAUGGCCACUAUAAAGAUGUAACUUGCUUAACAAAUAUCAGCAAGUGUUUAUGGUUUCCUGUGUACUUGAUGCACUGAGUGGGUGGAAGUGGGUAAGAGAAAGAUGAGGUGGUUCAUGUUCCCAGUAGGAAGAGAGAAUGUCAAUACUCAAAAUAGCUAGAAAACAAUUCACCAUCAGUAUUGAGACAGGCAUUUCAUUACUGUAUGGGUAAUAAUUAAGAAAUUUAAAAUAAAAACAUUGGCCCUCGU
Molecule: long non-coding RNA, 3566 nt
Filed under: Homo sapiens (human)
Lineage: Eukaryota; Metazoa; Chordata; Mammalia; Primates; Hominidae
Description: HSALNT0043683
Source: RNAcentral